RNAcentral lists this long non-coding RNA (1860 nucleotides) under Gossypium barbadense (sea-island cotton). Its description in RNAcentral is "long non-coding RNA (GBAR_LNC005774)". Lineage: Eukaryota; Viridiplantae; Streptophyta; Magnoliopsida; Malvales; Malvaceae. The record is from RNAcentral.
GGGUAUUGGGUUAAAUUUGUAAAUGGGUUAGUUUAAUGAUUGGGGUUUGGGUUAUUGUAAUGUAUUUGGACUUAUGGGAGUUUAAUGUAAAUGGCCCAAAAUUGGCCUAUAACACCUGCGUGCCCUUAAAUGCCUCCAAAAUAGUCUUAUAAUUUCAAGAAAAUGCCCAAUGCAUGAAUUCAACGUAAGCUAUUUCUUGUCUCACACAAAUUCUCAACAUAAUUUUAAUUUGAAUAAUUAAUUCCAAGAAAAUGCCCAAUGCAUGAAUUCAAUGUAAGCUAUUUCAAGAAAAUGGCCAAUGCAUGAAUCAAAACUUGAAUUUUUGGAGUUCCAGAAUGUUAUUUUGGUAUCGAUUUUGUGUAGCGGUAUAGAUACUGUAAUAGGCCAAUUUUGGCCUGGCCCAAAUAAAACAAUAAAUAACCAAUUAAUAAAACCCAGUGUCCAAAUUACAAAAUGGAUAAUUGACCCAAUCUUUAAAACCAAUUCCCAACUAAAACCCAUUACAUAUUAAACCAAACAACCCAAAAUUUGAAGGCCCAAGUGGCCCAGAAUGUUUAAACAUUUGGAAACCCUAACCCUAGCCCCAACUUUUAGCCGCCGCUCCUCACCAACAGGGCCACCACGGGCGCCGCUUCGUCGCACGCAUCUGACAUCUCUAACACCUGCUAAGGCAAAAUCCACACGCAAGCAAUACAAACAACAGAGAAACAGCAGAGAAAUAAAUAAAGAGAAAAACGACAAACAAAAAAGACAAGAGGAAGAAACAAAUAGUUGUAUUCGGCUAUAAGAGCCACAACCGAUCUUUUGUAUUUUUUACGCAUGUUAAGCAAUAAAAAAAAACAAAACAGAAGCAAAAGGUUGAUUUUGAUUUCCAUUUAUCAUGUUCUUUUUGUUCCUUUUUAUUGUUCUUUUUUAUCUUUUUAUUUCUUAUUAUAAUCUAUUUUAAACAAUAAAAGUAAACGGAAGGAGAUAUUUACCUGAGUCACCCCGGGGUCGCGUCGUCGAAACCUUUCCUCCGUCGCCAAAAUCGAAUCCAAAAGCGGGGUAAAAGGGCCUCCUUCUCUCGUUUUUUGGGCUAAAAAGGGAGUGGCCCUUGAAUAUUUUGAAAGCGGGGCUGAAAAGUCCGUCUUAUGCCGCUCCGACCACCGUCCACGGCACAGGAGUGGCAGGCUGCUGACUGUGGCUCAAGAGGGGUUUUAGAAUCCUUAGCAGAGAAGAGAUGGGGGUUUCUAUUUUUUUACUUAAAUAGGGGCUGAAAUAAAAAAUUUUAAAAAAAAAUUGGCUUUAAUAGUCAUGCAAAACCCUGCUAUUUUGCACACCCCCCACACGCCUAAAAACGGUGUCAUUCAAGGGGAAACCCACACGACCCGACCCAUAACCAGAGGGGAUCCGCGCGUUUUUGACCUAUUGGUCUAUUUGCGCAUUGGACCCCUCCAUUUUUGCAGUGUGUUUGAUUAAGUCUAACCUUUUUUUAUUUACGAUUUAUACACCACAUUUUAACCCUUUUUCAACUCGAUCCUUAACCUUUUAAAAUUAAACUGUUUUAUAUAUUCUACUUAUUUAUUAUAUAUAUAUAUAUAUUAUUUUAAACAAUUUUAUAUAUUAUUUAUUUUAGGUAUUUUUUAUUAGUUCUUUUAAAUUAUUUUAUGUAUUAUUUAUUUUAAAAUUGCUUUGUAAUGACCAUUUCAAAUUGUUUUAUUAUACAUUGUUUUAAUUUAUUUUAUACUUUUAUUUUAAGUUUUUUUGCAUUAGUUUUUUAAAAUUCUUUUACAUAUUAUUUAUUUUAAAUAUUUUUAUAUGUUAUUUACUUUAAACUUUUUUUUUAUAUGUGAUCUAUUAUUUUUUUUUUCUUUUUAUGGC